RNAcentral lists this unclassified non-coding RNA (315 nucleotides) under plant metagenome. RNAcentral's name for it is "partial contains 5.8S ribosomal RNA, internal transcribed spacer 2, and large subunit ribosomal RNA". The stretch from base 1 to 105 matches the Rfam family "5.8S ribosomal RNA", at positions 50 to 154 of the family's 154-position model. The record is from RNAcentral.
GAACUGCGAUAAGUAAUGUGAAUUGCAGAAUUCAGUGAAUCAUCGAGUCUUUGAACGCACGUUGCGCCCCCUGGCAUUCCGGGGGGCAUGCCUGUCCGAGCGUCAUUGCUGCCCUUCAAGCCCGGCUUGUGUGUUGGGUCGUCGUCCCCUCCGGGGGACGGGCCCGAAAGGCAGCGGCGGCACCGCGUCCGGUCCUCGAGCGUAUGGGGCUUUGUCACCCGCUCGAUAAGGACCGGCCGGGCGCCAGCCGGCGUCUCCAACCUUUUUUUCUCAGGUUGACCUCGGAUCAGGUAGGGAUACCCGCUGAACUUAAGC